Molecule: non-coding RNA, 127 nt
Organism: Caenorhabditis elegans
Lineage: Eukaryota; Metazoa; Nematoda; Chromadorea; Rhabditida; Rhabditidae
Source: Ensembl
AUAUAUAUAUAUAUAUAUAUAUAUACAGUGCGAACAACUUCUAUCGCGCUUCCAAUUAUUUUCGAGUUUCAGUACUUUCCAAUUUUUUUUUCUCGAAAAACGGUGAAUGCCAUUUGAUUUUAAAUGU